This 465-nucleotide ribosomal RNA is filed under the name uncultured bacterium. Its description in RNAcentral is "partial 16S ribosomal RNA". It matches the Rfam family "Bacterial small subunit ribosomal RNA", at positions 28 to 507 of the family's 1533-position model. The record is from RNAcentral.
GACGAACGCUGGCGGCGUGCUUAACACAUGCAAGUCGAACGGAAAGGCCCCUUUGGGGGUACUCGAGUGGCGAACGGGUGAGUAACACGUGAGUAACCUGCCCUUGACUUCGGGAUAACUUCAGGAAACUGGGGCUAAUACCGGAUAGGAAUCCUUGCUGCAUGGUGGGGGUUGGAAAGCUUCGGCGGUUUUGGAUGGACUCGCGGCUUAUCAGCUUGUUGGUGGGGUAGUGGCUUACCAAGGCUUUGACGGGUAGCCGGCCUGAGAGGGCGACCGGCCACAUUGGGACUGGGAGACGGCCCAGACUCCUACGGGAGGCAGCAGUGGGGAAUAUUGCACAAUGGGCGGAAGCCUGAUGCAGCAACGCCGCGUGCGGGAUGACGGCCUGCGGGUUGGAAACCGCUUUCAGCAGGGGCGAAGCUUGUGGUGACGGUACCUGCAGAAGAAGCACCGGCUAACUACGUG